CCUACGGGAGGCUGCAGUGAGGAAUAUUGGUCAAUGGACGAGAGUCUGAACCAGCCAAGCAGCGUGAAGGAUGACUGCCCUAUGGGUUGUAAACUUCUUUUAUAUGGGAAUAAAAUGUUCCACGUGUGGGAUUUUGUAUGUACCAUAUGAAUAAGGAUCGGCUAACUCCGCGCCAGCAGCCGCGGUAAUACGGAGGAUCCGAGCGUUAUCCGGAUUGAUUGGGUUUAAAGGGAGCGUAGGUGGAUUGUUAAGUCAGUUGUGAAAGUUUGCGGCUCAACCGUAAAAUUGCAGUUGAUACUGGCAGUCUUGAGUACAGUAGAGGUGGGCAGAAUUCGUGGUGUAGCGGUGAAAUGCUUAGAGAUCACGAGGAACUCCGAUUGCGAAGGCAGCUCACUGGACUGCAACUGACGCUGAGGCUCGAAAGUGUGGGUAUCAAACAGGAUUAGAUACCCGGGUAGUC
Molecule: ribosomal RNA, 460 nt
Filed under: uncultured bacterium
Lineage: Bacteria
Description: partial 16S ribosomal RNA
Rfam family: Bacterial small subunit ribosomal RNA
Source: RNAcentral